ACCGUUCUUAUUCUGGAUUUGCAAAUUGUCAUUAAUUUCUGUUGCAACUGCUAUCCGUCAAUAUUAUGGCCUGUAAAUAUCCAAGUUUUUCAGUGUUUUCAAAGCCUGUAACACUGUCAUGAGCUCUGUGUACUGUCCUGUGCCUUGCACUACUCCCUCUUUUGAAGCUAUGACCAUGUUGCUCUGUUUCAGAAUGAAAGCCCAGUGAGCUUCUUGUCUGCGGCCGUUUUUGAGCCAUCUGUGAAAACAACUGUAUUUUUAUAAAGCUCUAAUUUCUUUUUCUGUCAUUUUUUAAGUUCCUUUUGUCUGAUUUUCAGAUCUGGAUCUAGAAGCAUACUUUGCCAUUUCUGCCAUCGGCUAUUAAGCGCAUGGGCAUCCUUUACAUUGUUUUUGGAGAGAUUAGCUAAUACUGCUGUUUUGUGUUAAUAAAUAUUUUCUGGCCCCUUGCCAGGCCUUUCAGCUCGGAAUAUCAUUUGCUAAGUGCUGCCAACUGCUUCUCCACACCAGUAAAUUUAAGUUCUGGGAUCUCCCAGCUUCCAGUCAUAAUUCAGACCAUCCUUCUGUCCGAGCGACUCUCUGGGCAGAUGGGGAGCGGCUUGCUGAUCUCAUCUGUCCGAACAUUCCCGAUGGCUGAGAGGAUCCUGGCUGGUUGUUGUCCUCCCUUUUCUCAAAAUUUUUUUCCAGUUCAUCCUGAUUUAUGUUAGUCAUUAAUAAAUUUAUGGUCAAUUGACCUUCCUGUGACAUAUCUGUAAUUCCCAAUAGUAUGCCUUCUAAUACCGAAUUAACUGGGUGUUCAAAUUGUUCCCAUUAAAGUCAUAUGUAUUUAA
Long non-coding RNA from Carassius gibelio (silver crucian carp), 827 nucleotides. RefSeq lists it as uncharacterized. NCBI's taxonomy places the organism in Eukaryota, Metazoa, Chordata, Actinopteri, Cypriniformes, Cyprinidae. The record is from RefSeq and is a predicted model, not a curated record. The transcript has 3 exons.